CCCUUAGAUGUUCUGGGCUGCACGCGCGCUACACUGAAGCGUUCAACGAGUAUUCACCUUGCCCGGGAGGGUUGGGUAAUCUUUUGAAAACGCUUCGUGAUGGGGAUAGAUUAUUGCAAUUAUUAAUCUUCAACGAGGAAUUCCUAGUAAACGCAAGUCAUCAGCUUGCAUUGAUUACGUCCCUGCCCUUUGUACACACCGCCCGUCGCACCUACCGAUUGAAUGGUCCGGUGAAAUCUCGGGACGGCGGCUUGGUCGCUUGCGUCCGACUGCUGAAACUUGAUUAAACCAUAUCAUUUAGAGGAAGGUGAAGUCGUANCA
RNAcentral lists this ribosomal RNA (321 nucleotides) under uncultured eukaryote. Its description in RNAcentral is "partial 18S ribosomal RNA". It matches the Rfam family "Eukaryotic small subunit ribosomal RNA", at positions 1470 to 1796 of the family's 1831-position model. The record is from RNAcentral.